RNAcentral lists this ribosomal RNA (759 nucleotides) under uncultured Ascomycota. Its description in RNAcentral is "eukaryotic LSU rRNA". The stretch from base 1 to 235 matches the Rfam family "Eukaryotic small subunit ribosomal RNA", at positions 1601 to 1831 of the family's 1831-position model. The record is from RNAcentral. Lineage: Eukaryota; Fungi; Ascomycota.
CAACGAGGAAUGCCUAGUAAGCGCGUGUCAUCAGCAUGCGUUGAUUCUCGUCCCUGCCCUUUGUACACACCCGCCCGUCGCUACUACCGAUUGAAUGGCUCAGUGAGGCCUUCGGACUGGCCCGAGGAGGUUGGCAACGACCACCCCGGGCCGGAAAGUUCGUCAAACUCGGUCAUUUAGAGGAAGUAAAAGUCGUAACAAGGUUUCCGUAGGUGAACCUGCGGAAGGAUCAUUAUCAAAUACCUUAAAAAGUCUAAACCGCUUUUUAUCGUUCACCCUUUGUCUUUGCGUACUGUAUGUUUCCUCGGUGGGUUCGCCCGCCGAUAGGACAUUUCAAACCCUUUGUAAUUGCAAUCAGCGUCAGAAAAAAACUAUAAUAGUUACAACUUUCAACAACGGAUCUCUUGGUUCUGGCAUCGAUGAAGAACGCAGCGAAAUGCGAAAAGUAGUGUGAAUUGCAGAAUUCAGUGAAUCAUCGAAUCUUUGAACGCACAUUGCGCCCCUUGGUAUUCCAUGGGGCAUGCCUGUUCGAGCGUCAUUUGUACCCUCAAGCUCAGCUCUUGGUGUUGGGUGUUUGUCCUGCCCUCGCGGCGGACUCGCCUUAAAGUGAUUGGCAGCCAGAAUAAUUCUGGGGAACGCAGCACAACUGCAGCCUCUAGUCUUAUACGCUGAGCGUCCAACAAGCCUUUUAUUCUUGCGUUUGACCUCGGAUCAGGUAGGGAUACCCGCUGAACUUAAGCAUAUCAAUAAGCGGAGGAA